RNAcentral lists this ribosomal RNA (255 nucleotides) under uncultured bacterium. Its description in RNAcentral is "partial 16S ribosomal RNA". It matches the Rfam family "Bacterial small subunit ribosomal RNA", at positions 524 to 776 of the family's 1533-position model. The record is from RNAcentral.
UACGUAGGGUGCGAGCGUUGUCCGGAAUUAUUGGGCGUAAAGGGCUCGUAGGCGGUUUUGUCGCGUCUGCUGUGAAAAACUGGAGGCUCAACCUCCAGCCUGCAGUGGGUACGGGCAAACUAGAGUGCGGUAGGGGAGAUUGGAAUUCCUGGUGUAGCGGUGGAAUGCGCAGAUAUCAGGAGGAACACCGAUGGCGAAGGCAGAUCUCUGGGCCGUAACUGACGCUGAGGAGCGAAAGCAUGGGGAGCGAACAGG